RNAcentral lists this ribosomal RNA (301 nucleotides) under uncultured bacterium. RNAcentral's name for it is "partial 16S ribosomal RNA". It matches the Rfam family "Bacterial small subunit ribosomal RNA", at positions 509 to 809 of the family's 1533-position model. The record is from RNAcentral.
CAGUCGCCGCGGGAAUACGAAGGGUGCAAGCGUUACUCGGAAUUACUGGGCGUAAAGCGUGUGUAGGUGGUUGUUUAAGUCUGUCGUGAAAGCCCUGGGCUCAACCUGGGAAUUGCGAUGGAUACUGGGCGACUAGAGUGCGGUAGAGGAUAGUGGAAUUUCCGGUGUAGCAGUGAAAUGCGUAGAGAUCGGAAGGAACAUCUGUGGCGAAGGCGACUAUCUGGGCCAACACUGACACUGAGGCACGAAAGCGUGGGGAGCGAACAGGAUUAGAUACCCCUGUAGUCCCUGUCUCUUAUCC